UGAGGAAUAUUGGUCAAUGGGCGAGAGCCUGAACCAGCCAAGUCGCGUGAAGGAUGACGGCCCUACGGGUUGUAAACUUCUUUUGCCGGGGAGCAAAGUGCCGCACGUGUGCGGUUUGGAGAGUACCCGGAGAAAAAGCAUCGGCUAACUCCGUGCCAGCAGCCGCGGUAAUACGGAGGAUGCGAGCGUUAUCCGGAUUUAUUGGGUUUAAAGGGUGCGUAGGCGGACGCUUAAGUCAGCGGUAAAAUUGCGGGGCUCAACCUCGUCGAGCCGUUGAAACUGGGUGCCUUGAGUGGGCGAGAAGUACGCGGAAUGCGUGGUGUAGCGGUGAAAUGCAUAGAUAUCACGCAGAACUCCGAUUGCGAAGGCAGCGUACCGGCGCCCAACUGACGCUGAAGCACGAAGGCGUGGGUAUCGAACAGG
This 423-nucleotide ribosomal RNA is filed under the name uncultured bacterium. RNAcentral's name for it is "bacterial SSU rRNA". It matches the Rfam family "Bacterial small subunit ribosomal RNA", at positions 355 to 776 of the family's 1533-position model. The record is from RNAcentral.